GACGAACGCUGGCGGCGUGCUUAACACAUGCAAGUCGAACGGAAAGGCCCUGCUUUUGUGGGGUGCUCGAGUGGCGAACGGGUGAGUAACACGUGAGUAACCUGCCCUUGACUUUGGGAUAACUUCAGGAAACUGGGGCUAAUACCGGAUAGGAGCUCCUGCUGCACGGUGGGGGUUGGAAAGUUUCGGCGGUUGGGGAUGGACUCGCGGCUUAUCAGCUUGUCGGUGGGGUAGUGGCUUACCAAGGCUUUGACGGGUAGCCGGCCUGAGAGGGUGACCGGCCACAUUGGGACUGGGAUACGGCCCAGACUCCGACGGGGGGGAGGAGCGGGGAAUAUUGCACAAGGGGCGGAGGCCUGAUGCACCAACGCCGCGUGCGGGAUGACGGCCUUCGGGUGGUAAACCGAUUUCGCCUGGGACGAAGCGUGAGUGACGGUAAUGGGUAAAGAAGCACCGGCGAACUACGG
Molecule: ribosomal RNA, 467 nt
Filed under: uncultured bacterium
Lineage: Bacteria
Description: partial 16S ribosomal RNA
Rfam family: Bacterial small subunit ribosomal RNA
Source: RNAcentral